GACGAACGCUGGCGGCGUGCUUAACACAUGCAAGUCGAACGGAAAGGCCCUGCUUUUGUGGGGUGCUCGAGUGGCGAACGGGUGAGUAACACGUGAGUAACCUGCCCUUGACUUUGGGAUAACUUCAGGAAACUGGGGCUAAUACCGGAUAGGAGCUCCUGCUGCAUGGUGGGGGUUGGAAAGUUUCGGCGGUUGGGGAUGGACUCGCGGCUUAUCAGCUUGUUGGUGGGGUAGUGGCUUACCAAGGCUUUGACGGGUAGCCGGCCUGAGAGGGUGACCGGCCACCUUAGGACUGAGAUACGGCCCAGACUCCAACGGGACGCAGCAGUGGGGAAUAUUGCAGAAUGGGCGGAAGUCUGAUGUAGCAACGCCGCGUGCGGGAUGACGGGCUUCGGGUUGUAAACCGCUUCCGCCUUUGACGAAGCGUUAGUGACGGUAAUGGGUAAAGAAGCACCGGCUAACUACGUG
RNAcentral lists this ribosomal RNA (468 nucleotides) under uncultured bacterium. RNAcentral's name for it is "partial 16S ribosomal RNA". It matches the Rfam family "Bacterial small subunit ribosomal RNA", at positions 28 to 507 of the family's 1533-position model. The record is from RNAcentral.